Non-coding RNA from Biomphalaria pfeifferi, 421 nucleotides. NCBI's taxonomy places the organism in Eukaryota, Metazoa, Mollusca, Gastropoda, Planorbidae. The record is from the annotation of a GenBank genome assembly.
CUUUAAAAAAAUGCUUACGAUUACGAUAAAUUUCCCCCAGACACCACCCUCCCCCAUGUUUCCAAAUGGUCCAGAUGGAUUAUAUCGUAGCGAGAAAGCUAUAAACAUGAAAUAGCGCUAAACAAAAACAAUCGGUUAAAAUAUUUCUCAUCACAUCAGAUUUAUUGUUGUUGGUGUCGAUCUAAUGCAAACGUUUUACAUGGCUCAUUCAAACUAAUUGAAAUAAUUACACUUAAUAUAAGCUUUUUUAAAAAAAAUUUUUUUAUGCUUUUCUUGUUAUGAUUUGUAGAGAAAUCGAUAUUAGUUUAAAUUAUGUUCACCAAUAACUAACUGCAUAACUAAUGACAAAUAUUUAAAAAAACGAUUAUUUUACGAAUUAGAAAUCUAUAUAAACAGCUCUAUGCUUUUGUUUUCCUUUGUA